RNAcentral lists this transfer RNA (64 nucleotides) under Grasseichthys gabonensis. Its description in RNAcentral is "tRNA-Cys". It matches the Rfam family "tRNA". From Rfam's summary of the family: Transfer RNA (tRNA) molecules are approximately 80 nucleotides in length. Their secondary structure includes four short double-helical elements and three loops (D, anti-codon, and T loops). Lineage: Eukaryota; Metazoa; Chordata; Actinopteri; Gonorynchiformes; Kneriidae. The record is from RNAcentral.
AGCUUUGUGGUGUAGGCACAUCAGAUUGCAAAUCUGAAGGCGCGGAAUAAUACCCGCCAAGGCU